UGUGGUUUAAUGCCACUCCCUCGCUAAAAACCCUCAUGGUCUCACAUGAGGCGGUGUGUCUCUUUAGACAGACUCUCACUGAAGAAAGUUUCUCCUGCAGCAGAACAACCCUGGAGGAUGUCUCCAACUGUGAUUGGAUUUCUUCUCAUCUUGCUUUCAUACCAAGCUAAGAGUGUGACGUUUCAGCCGUCUCGUCCAAGAAUAGUCUACGAAAGAUCCAGGGUGGAUUUUAAAUGCAGUCACAAUGAUGGUGCUCUUAAUGUAAUGCUCUGGUACCAGCAAACAGAGAGCGGUCUGAUUCAUUUAAUUGGAUACGGCUACAGUGGCACUGACCCCAACUAUGAGCAGCAGUUUAAAGAUCGGUUUGAGAUUACACGAGAGGACACCCAAAGAGGAGCCCUGAUCAUUGACAGUGUCAAUCUAUCAGACUCGGCUGUGUAUUUCUGCGCUGCCAGUACACAGUGA
Non-coding RNA from Etheostoma spectabile (orangethroat darter), 465 nucleotides. The record is from the annotation of a RefSeq genome assembly. Lineage: Eukaryota; Metazoa; Chordata; Actinopteri; Perciformes; Percidae.